UAAAAAUCAAGUCACAAUAUCGAAACAGUAAAAAAGAAAAAAAAAAAUCUAACGAUACAUUUCCGUUCAAAAUAUUCGUACUUCGCAUACCCUUCGCACGCGCUACAGGGGAUACAGCGAAAGCCCCAAACCCAACGUUCGAAAAAAAUUCAAAUUCCAGGCUCGGAGUCUCCGAGCCUACUAAAAUUAGGCUCGGGAGGAGUGACAAUAACAAAAAAAAAAAAGGCAAAAAAAAUCUAAAUUUACAAUUUUGGUCCUCCAACUAGAGGCCACGGACAUAAUUUAUCAUAAUAUUUUACUCAAUCUUUUAUAUAUAUUUGUAUAAUUUAAUUAACUGAAUAUUAAUAUAUGGCUGAUAUAAAAAUUAAGGUUAAUUUUUUAUAGAUGCCUGCAAAUAUAGUAAAUAAUAAAUAUAUUCCUAUAAAGUUUAUCUUUUAUAUAUUGUUCCUGUAAAAAUUCUGAUAUUUUCAAAUAUGUUUGUACCGUUAGAAUUUGUUAGAAAAUUUUAGUUAACUAUAGGUUAAAUACUUAACUUUUGUUAGUUUUUAAUAUUUUUAUCCCUUUUUAUAUUAUACUGUUAUGUUUUUUGGGGAGACAUUAGGACAUAUUUAUGAUUGUAAAAUUGAAAAUAUAAACAGUUUUUUAAUGAUAAUAAAUCAGAUAAAUAUAUUUGUAAAUAUUAGAAUUUGUAAAGACGACAUAUAAAAGUUGAAUUUUGUAUGAAUAUAUUUUUCAUUCACUAUAUUUGUAAGGAUCCGUAUGAAAUUAACCCUAAAAAUUAUAUAGUAAUGUUUUAUAAUUGAUGUCACAAUAAUAAUUAUUAUGAUAUCGCAUUAUUUUUAUAUCAGCGAUAAGAUAAUAUUAAGCUAAUGGUAUUCAGUUAUAGAACUUUGUUAUAAUAAUUUAAAAAAUUUAAACAAAAUAUUAUUAUAAUAAAUUAAAGUUUAUGGACCAUAUGUGUAAUUUAGGUUUUUUAAAAAAAAAAAAAAGAAAAAGAAAGGAGGAGAGAGAGGGAGCGUGGGGGGGUCGGGUGGAAAGAAAGGGAGAGAAGGGCGGGGAAAAGGUCCAAAGUGGGGCCCAGAAGGCGCGCCUCCUUGCGUGGGGCCCACGCCGUCAUCAUGCCCGCCGGCUGGAGCAAAGCCCUGCCGGCCCAUGCGGCCCAAACCCAGACUUUCUUCUAAAAAAAAAAUGCUGGUGGGGCCCACAAACCCAACAAAUUAUUUAAUCGCAUGCACCUGGUGUAUACAUCGGAGUAUCGUCAAUCGCUGCGCUGAGGCUCUCUAAUCUACAACCUCCAAAUAAAUUACAUAUUAUCCAAAACUACAGUUUUUAGAAAAAUUAUAUAAUUAAGCAUCUCGCAACCAGAUAUGAGGUGGUUAUUUUUUUCCAGUCGGAAAAAGAAAAUGUUCUUACUCAGUUUACAUAGAAUUCAACGGUUAAAUAUUAUAUUUUUUACUUUUUUUUUUUAUUUUGUUUGAAAUUAUCAAGUCGAAUAAUCAUGAUAUCGUAGGUUUCAGCAACUACCAUCCCGAUUAGCCAAAAAAACUAUAUUACAAUGGUAAAAAAAUCAGUAGUAUUUACAUUUCGAAAGUAACGUCGCAUCGAAUAAUUUAAAACUUUUCGAAUUUAAAACAAUAGUUCAUAAUUGAGUUUUGAACACCACGGUGUAUACACCUGGUGCAUGCAAUAGUUUCUCUGGGCCUAUGGACCAUUUACCGGGCUGUAAAAUGGGGCCCACCGGGCCCAGUGAUGAUGCCCGAUCCGCGAUUGUGCAUUUUAAUUGACCAAGCGACAUGGGGUCGAGUCAAAAGUGUAACCAAAUCAAAUGGCUCAAAAUUAAAGAUCGAUCCCUUCUAAUACUGGAGAAAUGCACGCGUAAAGAGUGCCACUUUUUAAUUUAAGCACUAGUUAGCAACUGUUCAGCAACUGUUCAGAAGCGAAAAGUCGGAGAGCGGAAAAUUUGUAAGUUUUCUGAACUCAAUUUCGCCUCCUAACCUGCCGAAGUUAAAAAACCGAUCUCCGUACAGUCGUGAGUGAAGGUUCGUAUGAUCUCGAAACAUUGAUGUCGAAAUAAAUGUCCAUAUCUACGACUUUUUCAAAGUGUAAAACUUUUGCCAUAGUAGACACUCUGAAUAAGGUAUUGAGCUAUGAAAUCAAAAGCUUCAAUUUGAAUCCUUUAUGCUUCUGCUACAAAAAUAUAUAUAUAUAUUGAAAGAACUUGAAUAUAACGUGUCUCCUAAAAAUGCUAUUUAAUUUAGCGGCGUUGCUUUCUGAUGCAAGAUCAAGCUAAUAUAAAGCCAUAAAGUCAAAAACUUGAAUUUGAAAAGUAGAAAACUUUGUGCUUUAGCCAAAGUUAAUAAGGGCACUUGAGUAAAAAUCAGCUAACACAUCACCUCUACUCGCUUGCACAACGAAAAUCAGAUAAACUAUAUCACACACACAAACACACACACACACAAAUUGAGAGAUGUAGAAAUCUAAAGAUUGGGAUUAACUGAAAUGGAGUGGGCUUAGAUUGCUCAAAAGAUCAUUGUGAUUCAUAGAAAACGAUUCAGAAAUAGUUUUAGCUUCUAAAUCAAUUAAUAUUCACAAAUAUUUUCCUUUUUCUUGUGUGGAAAAGCAUUGCUGUGUAAAGUAGUGUGGCUUGACAAAAAAAAUAAAAAAAAAAAAAUCCUUCUUAUUU
This 2683-nucleotide long non-coding RNA is filed under the name Ananas comosus (pineapple). Its description in RNAcentral is "long non-coding RNA (ACOM_LNC027279)". The record is from RNAcentral. Lineage: Eukaryota; Viridiplantae; Streptophyta; Magnoliopsida; Poales; Bromeliaceae.